GACGUCUACCUGCAACGCGACGCCACUUCGGCUGCGCUCUUUCAGAGUAAAAGACUUUCGCUGCUCGUGACUCUCGUGAAAGGGUUAGAGAAAGAAGCUGGCGCCCUCUGCCGGCCGGCAGUCAGCCUGGCUGUGGUUAUCUGGAGCUGUCGCUGUAGUCAUGAUGCUACAGGACAAAGCGACACUUCUCACUCCACCUGGUCUGUCGUUCUGAUUGGCUGACUCCUUCCUGGAGGCAGCUCAUUGGCUGACAUGACGCUGCCAUCGGGGGUUCCCAAACUUUCCAACCUGUGACUCUAAAAUACAAACCAGUAUUCCACUUUGUUCAUUUAAAUGUUACUUUAAAUGAAAUUCUUUUAUGAAAAUGAUUAAAGGGUGUUAUUUAAUGAGAUAUUUAUGGAGCUAAAUUGGGGCCAUAAAGUUUGUUUUUGAACCUGAAGAAAACUAAAACUCAAAAAUAACCUUUAAUUUCAAAAGUAGUAUUUUUCCUGUAAGACCAGCAGGUGUUCAAAGGCGGCGCUAAAGGGUCGGGACGUUAAAGGGGCGGCGGCGCUGCAGCCGGGUCGGGGCGUUAAAGGGGCGGCGGCCGGGUCACCAGGUGAGAAAAGAGACGCAGGACGCAGCUUGUGUUGAACUUUAUUGAACAUCUGCAGUGAGUCUCUGCUGCAGCUCAAUCGGUUAAAUUAGCUGCAGUUUACAGCAAUAACUUACGCUUUACAGUGUUACUCGUUUCCAUGGCGACAGGACAGGAAGCAUCAGGUUCU
This is a long non-coding RNA of Xiphophorus hellerii (green swordtail), 764 nucleotides long. RefSeq lists it as uncharacterized. The transcript has 2 exons. NCBI's taxonomy places the organism in Eukaryota, Metazoa, Chordata, Actinopteri, Cyprinodontiformes, Poeciliidae. The record is from RefSeq and is a predicted model, not a curated record.